ACGAUUAGAGUAGAGAAUUAUAU
This 23-nucleotide unclassified non-coding RNA is filed under the name Leishmania tarentolae. RNAcentral's name for it is "gG4IIIc". The record is from RNAcentral. Lineage: Eukaryota; Euglenozoa; Kinetoplastea; Trypanosomatida; Trypanosomatidae.